CAAUAGCGUAUAUUAAAGUUGUUGCAGUUAAAAAGCUCGUAGUUGAAUUUUUGCUUGCCGCCGAUGUCGGAACCUCCGUACGUUCGGCGGCGUGCAUCCUUGGGUGGAACCUGUGUGGCAUUAGGUUGUCGUGCAGGGGAUGCUCAUCGUUUACUGUGAAAAAAUUAGAGUGUUCAAAGCAGGCUUACGCCGUUGAAUAUAUUAGCAUGGAAUAAUAAGAUAGGACCUUGGUACUAUUUUGUUGGUUUGCGCACCGAGGUAAUGAUUAACAGGGACAGUUGGGGGUAUUCGUAUUCCAUUGUCAGAGGUGAAAUUCUUGGAUUUCUGGAAGACGAACUACUGCGAAAGCAUUUACCAAGGAUGUUUUCAUUA
This 372-nucleotide ribosomal RNA is filed under the name uncultured eukaryote. RNAcentral's name for it is "partial 18S ribosomal RNA". It matches the Rfam family "Eukaryotic small subunit ribosomal RNA", at positions 592 to 975 of the family's 1831-position model. The record is from RNAcentral.